GGCCUAAAAGCCACAGACACUCAGGGCUCUGGCCAGAGGCUGCCCCAGCACAGCCAUAGAAAUGGGGACAGUGGAAGGCACCAUCCUGCUGGCCAGAGGAGGGGCCCUGGCCCGAGAGAGGACCUGAGCCGACUAGGGAUCAUUCAAAGCCCAAAGCAAACAGCAUUCUCAAGGAGAAGAGGGUGUUCAGACCCUGCUGUGAGGCCCCAAGUCGUGAAAUGAGCCUGAGCCCUUGCCCAGUAUGGAUGGGCCCAAGCAUGUCCUCUGAGGCCUUUUGACAAGUGACUGGCUGGCUUUGGCUCCUGCCUGUGGCCCUGACAUGCUGAUGGGCCAGGAGGGUGAAAGUCUGAUUCCAUGAGAUACAAACAACAGAAACUUUACAUUUGGGACCCUUCUCGACCUCAUCUUAUGUAUUUUUUGGCUUAACAAAAACUUAAUUCAGAAAUCCAUUCAAUGUGAUUUGUUUCCACAAAA
Otolemur garnettii (small-eared galago) is the source of this 474-nucleotide long non-coding RNA. RefSeq lists it as uncharacterized. The transcript is spliced from 3 exons. The record is from RefSeq and is a predicted model, not a curated record. Lineage: Eukaryota; Metazoa; Chordata; Mammalia; Primates; Galagidae.